AACGCUAAAUUUUUGACACAAAAGUCAUAGCAUUCUAGUUAGUGAGAUUGUAAGUCUCCCCUCUUUCAUGGUAUUGUAUGGAAACUUGGCCUUUUUUCCUUCCUUUGGAAGAUGUCUUGGUUCAAGGAUCUAUGCUUGUGAUAAGUGGGUUGAGUGUUCUCCAUAGAAUGACUUAAAACAAAAAACAAAAAAAGAAAAAGCAAUACUAACUUA
Molecule: long non-coding RNA, 213 nt
Filed under: Lathyrus oleraceus (garden pea)
Lineage: Eukaryota; Viridiplantae; Streptophyta; Magnoliopsida; Fabales; Fabaceae
Description: Pisum sativum (pea) long non-coding RNA (PSAT_LNC039770)
Source: RNAcentral